Lagopus muta (rock ptarmigan) is the source of this 14487-nucleotide long non-coding RNA. RefSeq lists it as uncharacterized. The transcript has 3 exons. The record is from RefSeq and is a predicted model, not a curated record. NCBI's taxonomy places the organism in Eukaryota, Metazoa, Chordata, Aves, Galliformes, Phasianidae.
CCUAGGUUACACACAGCUGUAAGCCACAAGAUUUCCUAUCUUCUUUAAUAUUGAAUUCAACAUUAUUGUACACUUUAUAAAGAAAUUUAGACUACUACACAGAAAGUACUCACACACUGUAUUUCACCAAGUCUGUUUCCUUUCUUGCUUUCCUAACCUAAGCAAGAAAAGCUUUAGGUACUUCCACUUUCUGCAAGAUGCCAAGCACAUCUGUUUUGCCCCCUUUGCCACCAACAACUCAAGCCUGUGAGCUGGAAAGCUAUCUGUCUUAUUGUUGUUUAAACUGUUCAAGUGGAAAAUAACACCACUGAGGAGGAGGCGAGGCAGAAUCAGCAGCACAGGUAGGAAGGCCAGCCAGUUGGUUCACAAGGAACAGUGAACUUCAACAUCUAGGAGUUGAGUUGUAUUAUGUCUGCACAAUUUUCCUACAUUGAAAAGAUUGCUAUUUCUACAACACACACUAAGAAUUGGCCCUUUCUCCCUAGCUAUGAUCACAAGGCAAGCAAUUAACAGUCGAUCACCUAAUAGUAUUGCUUAGCAGUACAUACUCCUAGCUGCCUCAUCACUGCCUUUCCGACUUCAUUUGGGAUAUAUCUAAUCCACUCGUUUCCUCAAUAAUAUGCCCUGCAAUUGCAGGAUCCAAAUUUAAGCAACCACUUAAAAUAACUGCUAUCCUUUCAGAGGCAUAAAAAUGUACCAUAACUAGGAUUCAAGACUAUGUGCAACUUCAUUCAGUACACACACUUGAAGCUUCAAAGGUAAAUACACUUCCGCCUCUAGACAGCUUGCCAGGUUUUAUUUUUCUUCACACUUGCACAUGAAGGAUUAGUUACAUGAGCGCAGUAUCAUUAUGUAACUGUAUUAACCCAUACAAUAUGCAACUUGAGGACUGCUCUCAGUUCUAAUUCCCAUUUCACAAGGGAAAGUCACAGAAAACAUGGCACAGACACACAGGUCACCUUCUAACAACCAGGUGAACGUAUUAGGAUUCCUGAGCCUAGAACAAAGAUUACAAAUCUACACACUGAGCAGGAUCUUAAGACACAGCAGAAUCGAGCGGAGUUGUUCACCUUUUUCAGCACAAGAAUCUGAGAGCAGAGAGUUAAACCAACACACUGGAGCUCCAGGACACUCCAAAGAACCAGUUCUUUACACAAGCAACAAUUAGGCCAUGAAACUCCUUCCUCCCCAGCAUUCCUGAUGCAAGAGCUAUUGAUAAAAAGCACACCUGAAGUUAUUAUACACACUACAAAUCACAGUUUGUGGAGCUGGGAUAAGUAUUGCAUGGACACCAACAGACAUUUUGGUCUGCCUCCUUCGCCUGGGCAUUCUCUCCCAUAGCCUGAAGAGUUGGACUGACUGAGCUUUGAGUAAGACAUUUUAUUUAUCACAGGUUGCCACAGAAAUUGUUUCUCUUUAAAAAGAAAUUAUGAGCUUACAGAUUUCCACAGUAACUUCAUUGUUAAGGAAUGGCUUCAGUUCCAGAAGACAUUAAGAGAAGAGACAAAAAGAAUCACCUGAAGUUCUGUGUGCGAGACAGAGAAACCUAAAAAAAACCAAUACAACAGUUCUACAAACUCACUCUUUCAGCACAAUCACGCAAAAACACUGCUCUCCACAAUGCGCCAUUUAGAUGGCAGGUGCAUCUGGGCUUCUAAACUGUUUUAAUGAACAGUUUUGUUUUUGUCUAGUCAUAUUUCCUACAUGCAGGCAUCCUACUAAAAUAAUCAGGUGCCUUACAGCACUGCUGUAAGAAAUCUGCCAGGAAUCACUGCUCAAAACACUCCAUUAUUCAGUCAUUAAGUGAUUACAGUUGGAGAAAAUGCACUAUAAGCUAACCUAGCAAUUUACUUAGCUUAAUUCCAUUUUACAAGACGUGGCCAUGCCACUGCUCUGCCAGAAGUUUACAGGAUGCCUAGCAGCCCUAAACCAAAUAUGCUAUUCAUAACACAGCAAGGAGAAAAAACAAGAAAAAAAAAAAGCCAAGAUAAUGCUAAAACCUCAAACUGCCUCCCUGCCACAUAUGCAGAGUUUUCCAGACUUUGAGGACACAGGCCAUUAGUAUCAUACUUUUGAUUAUUAGGGGACUGCUAACAAAAUGGAAGGCAUUGAGGUGUAGCAGAGAAAACGCAAAAUCCCAUUUGAAAGCUGACACUGUGAACUUAGUGGCAGCUAAACAGGACGCGAAAAGGCAAUAGGAACGCUGGAGGGAGACCUGCACCAGUACGGUGCUCGGUCUGCUGCAAGCCUAACACCUGAGCUGGAAGGAAGGAACACACCAGAAAGAAAGAGACGAAGUUUAUUUACAAGUUAUCACAACUGGACUGCAAGAACGUCUAAUUAGCAACAGCGGCCUUACUAACUACGUCCACAACUGUAGAACACAUUUCCUCCCCUCCUCCGACGCGCAGGAGCUCGCGAACGAGCCCGCCCCGGCUGCGUGAAGAAGCGCUACCGCUUUCAGGCAGUCCCAAGGGGAACGAGCGAGACGCCAGAAGCCACGCUGCGGCCACCAGAGAGAUCACUGGGGACGGGACGGCCGCCCCCAUCGCUUGGGGUACCCGUGCAACGUUCCCUGCCCGUCCCGAGAGGCCACACCGGCUGUAAGGCCCCACCACCAUCAGAGCAGUGCAAAUCGCCUUGUCCUCGCCGGGGCCGGAAGCGGAGCCGCGCCGGCGCAGGGACAGCCCACCGCCGAGGGGAGGGGUGCAUCCGCCGCCCCCCGCCCGAUCCUGCGCCCCCGGAGGCGGGCGGCCGUCGCCUGCCGGCCCGCAACUUAUCGCGCAGGUCUAGUCCGCCGCUAUGCCGGGGCCUGUACCUGCGUUGGAAGUCCUGCUCGAAGGGGGCCAGCAGUAUGCAUACAAAAAUCCAAGAACUAGGACAAGUGCUGUUCGAUAUCUUUAUCCAUGGCAUCAACAGUAGGAUUGAGUGCACCCUCAGCAAGUUUGCGGAAAAUGCUAAGCUGUGUGGUGUGGUCAGCACAUCUGAGGGACCAGGAUGCCAUCUGGAGGGACCUAGACAGCCUUGAGCAUUGGAUCCAGGUCAACCUCAUGAGGUUCAGUGAAGCCAUGUUCAAGGUCUUGCACCUGGAUCAAGGCAACCCCCUUUAUCAGUACAAGAUGGCAGUGAAGGAAUGGAAGGCAGCCCUGCAGAAAAGGACUUGGGGGGACUGAUGGAUGGGAAGCUGGACAUGAGCCAGCAUUGGGCCCUCACAGCCCAGAAAGCCAACUGUAUCAAAAGUACAUCAAAAGAAGUGUGGUCAGCUGGUCGAGGGAGGUGAUCCUGCCCCUCUACUCUACAUUGCUGAGAUCUUACCUGGAAUAGUGUGACCAGACAUGGAGUCCUCAGUACAAGAGAGACAUGGACCUAUUGGAGGGUAUCCAGAGGAGGGCCACAGAAAUGAUCCAGAGAAUGGAAUACCUCCUCUGUGAGGACAGGCUGUGAGAGCUGGGGCUGUUCAGCCUGGAGAAGAGAUGCCUCUGGGGAGACCUGAGUGCAGCCUUUCAGUAUCUAAAGUGGGGCUGUGAGAAGGGGACAGACACUUUAGCAGGCUCUGUUGUGAUAGGACGAGUGGAAAUUAUUUCAAAUUAAAGAGGGGAGACUUAGACUGGAUAUAAGAAAGAAGGUUUUUACAGUAAGAGUUAAGUUUUUCAUAAAAGAGGCACUGGAACUGAUUGCACGAAGAGGUCAUGGCAGCCCUGUCCCUGGGGACAUUCAGGGUUUAGGCUGGAUAGGACUCUGAGCAACCUGAUCUGGCAACAUCCAACCUCAUCAUUUUCCAAUUGUCCAUUGGUUCCAUCAGGACAGUAGACAUUUCCCAAUGAUCAAAUUGUAAUUUGGAGUCUACAAAGGUGAAGUAUAAGCCUUUUUGGCUGCAGCUGAGAGGUAUGAAUGGCCUUUUCCCUUAUGUCACUCUUCAGUUCGCAAUCCAGUAGAGACGUUGGAGAUGCUGUUCCAGUACAUUGAAUCUUUUCCAGUUUCCUCACUGUAUCUGCAUGUUUGUGCUAAAUUUAACUGCUUUCUUGCUACACUAUUUCCUACCAGUGCAUAUAUGCAUAGAUUGCUUUGCUUUUGCAUCUUAUCUUGUCAUAUCCCUUUUGCCACAUUUUCUUAAGAAGAAUGAGUGUAAAUACUGAUAAAAAUAACGGUGUUACAGCUUCUGAGUCAUCUGCUCAGUUUGAUAUUUUCAAAUUUGCUGCUUACUAUCUAUGAUGGCUGAUAUCUCUUCUCCCCUCAUAUAGGCUGCUAGCUUAUUCCAUGUUGUUCUGGUAUCUAUAGGCCCUAAAACUAAAUACACUCCAGGCCAUCCAUUAUAGUUACUUGAAUACAUCUGCGUUUUUAAACAUUCAAGGCUUGUCAAUUUCGACUAUGUUGCCAUGCACAAAACAUUAAAGAGUCUGACAACUUUUUUCUGCUUCUAUUAUGUCUCUACUUUCUUUUGGCUUAUGACCAUCAUAGUGGUAUAAUCAUUCAAAUUCUGGUCUUCCUUCUUAAGUUCAUACAGUGUUAUGCAUCCACUCAUCAUAAUCAGUUUCUAGAUCUUUUGAAAGAAUCUGGAUCCCAAAGAUUUAGUCCCUGCUUAAUACUGUUUCCUCACCUCAUCUAUUUCUUCCAAAAAGUAGAAAUGGACAGAUCCUAGGUGCAGGGUCCUAGAUAAUUCCUAGGAGCAGAGUUGGAAUGUCCAGCAAGGGACUGGUUUUGUUUUUAUCUUUCCUAAGAAUUGCAGAAUUAUAGAAUCAUUAAGAUUGGAAAAGACAACUAAGAUCAUCUAGUCCAACUGUCAACAUCACCAUGCCUGCUGAACCAUGUCCUCAGAGCCUUGGUUCCCCUGUCAGUGGCCUUGUCCUUUACUAAUAAGCCAUAAGAAAAACAGUCUCUGUUCAGCUGAGUCAUGAGAGGUAGCAAAGACAAAGAUCUCUGAUCACCUAGGGCUAUGAUCAGAGGCUUUAAAGCAAUCUUUGGGCCUCCAAUACAAUGUCCACCUAGUGCCAAUUUGCCAAACUGCCACAUUUUCUUUCUGAGAUUUUCAACAGUUGGCAUCCACCACAAAGACUGACACCUAUCUAAAAGAGAUUUGCCCAAAGUGAACUGCAACCAGAUCACUGAAUGAUUUAGCUACUAUUUCUCUUCUUUCCUCAGAUUAUCAGUGAUCAUGAGUCACCUGGGCUCAAAAUUUAUUAGUUAUUUAUUUGUUAUAGUAUACAAACUAUUUACAGUAAGAUGAAUGGUAAGAUAUCUGACAAUUCAUGGACCAGUGAAUGCCCUGAGUCUCUGGAAUCUAUCUGCUGUUUACUUUGUGUCACCACUUAGUCUUAUAACAUAGUGUUCUAAGCAAAAUUACUAUCACGUAUAUAUUUUUGCUUUAAUAUCAACCAUUUAUCAAUUUAACUUUUUUAUUUUUUUUUAAGAUGUAAUACAGCUCUCAGUAUCUGGUUAGUCAGGUCAUUAGUAGUCAAAUAACAGCCAUGGUAGCACACUGUAAAUGAGAAAUGCUUUAAAAAGUCUUCCAUGCCUUUGUCUUCCUCUAUUAAAACUUGGUCUCACAGACCACAUUGAGAUCCUCUGUUAUUUUUCUGUUACUCUUUUUCUGGCUCUUUGACCUUUGCUGUUAAAGCUUUGGUUUAUGCAAAUAGUGAGAUUUCUUCACUGAUAAGAUUGUUAUCCAAAUUAUUAGUAAUGUUUGUUUUUUCCCUAUUUCCCUGUUUCAGCUGCACAUUUAAAAUACUGAAAUGCUUGUACGGUUCACAAAUUAUCUAUUGCUUCUUGGCCUGUGCAAUCUUUCAGCUUUCCUCAGUAACUCUUAUGUUGUCUUCUGUUUCAACACUUGCACAAGAAAAACUCACAAAGGAUUCCAUCCUGGGAGCUGAGUCAUUCUCUAAACCAAGAACUGUCAUUCUCUGUACAUAAAAUAUUCCUCUGCAGAGCUUAAGGGCAAGUAUUACAUAUGUGAUUUUAUGUUGAUUUUUCUUUGGCUUCUCUUACUUUAAAUUGCUUGCAUAUCUGAAUCAGUAUACCACAUUAUUUAUCUGUACACACCAAAACUUUCUUUGCAUUCAUACAAUUACAUAAUGUGUUACAUAAUGCCAAAAUGUUAGUUAUUUUUGUGUUCUAAUUAUUUAUUUGAUAGUCAUUUCAAAAAAUACACUCACAUUUUCACUUGUUUUGUAUUUACACCUAAUUCUCUUGAACUUUAACUACUUCCUAUCCAGGAAACCUCCAGUCCUCAAGGAACAUGAUCUGUACAAUCAAAUUGUUAGUCCAGUCACACCUCUAAAAGACAGUCAUGGUGAAUAGCAAUCUAGCUUUAGUCAUCUGAGAUAGCUAACAUUUAAAAGAGCUGACUAACAGUGACAUGUAUUAGACAUGGAAAAAACAAGACCGGCUAUUUAUUUCUUUUCUUUUCUUAGCACUGUAAAGUACCUCACAUAUUCUUUGUAUUUUUAAAUAAACAUUUUAAAUAAGAAAACUAAAUUCUGUGUUUGUGAUUGCCAAAAAUAAACGCUUUAGUAGGUUGAAACCACUCUAGCACUAUAAGUUAUUCCCAUUAUGACAUUCUCUGCUUAUGUUAAAAUUGAUGUGUGGGACUGAAAGAGAUUUGUAGAAAGAUUCCUGAACACCUCUGUUUUGAUUUUUAUUAUACUUCUUGAAAUAAAACUUUUCAGCUGAUUUCUCCAGCAUAAUUUCACCUGUUAAAAAUUCUCAUGUUAGCUCUGAUUUUAUAAAUAAUGCCUUUAUUAAAUCUAUAAUUUUCCAGCCUACUACGUUUUUAUUCCCCUUUCUUUACUUGCUUGCAUACUUAUCACUCUUUGUUUCAAUGUUUUGUUUUGUCCUUUUAAUUCUUUGUUUUACAGUAAGUCUUGUUGCACUGCUUUCCUUGACGAAUUUGUAUCUGCAUAGAAGAAAAUUGAGCCUCGUGCCAACAGAUGAGAUAGACUUUAUGACUUCACUAUGAUCACAGCACAUAUUGAUAAAAGCAUGGAACUGUGAAGUAUGAGAUGCAAAUGUCAAAAUAUUUCUUUGUUUUUGUAAGGAGUUGCAAAAGCAGUCAUUCCUUUUCUGUACAAUGAAUUAUGGGCAUUCAGAACUGUAAAAAAGCCACUCUACCAAGAAUAUAAAAAUAAAUGCCAUUUGUUGUUUUUUGUUUUGUUUUUCUAAUUUCCUUUCUGUAGAAUGUAGCAUUAAUAUUCUCAAAAAGAAAAAAGCCAACUCUAAGAAAAACUAUCACAUUGCCUACUGUUUUUCUUAAAUCUGUAAAUGUUUUGCAGGUCUUAUCUUAAGUCAGCUUUCUUGCUCCAGGUUUUGAUCUUUGGAAUAAAUCUAACUUAUUUUGGCUUCUAGCAUUUGUCCUGUCGUUCACACAAUUUCAUUUGUAUGUUGGCAACCAAUUUUUCAUAAACACUGAGAGUUCUUUCAGCACUGAACAAUUGCAAUGAAUUGAGGUAGGUUCUGUUGUACUUCUGUAACAAAUUAUUGUACAACAACUUGAGUAGUUAAGGGAAAAAAGGCCUUUUUAUAAGUUGGAAAAUGGGCACAGUAUGCAUUUCAGGUUAAUAACUUUUAUAUACUGCUUUGAGUGUACGUUUGCGUAUUAACCAAAAGGCGGUUGAUUAAUUUUAUUCUUUUUAUUCUUUUCAAAAAAGUUUGGGUUUUUUUUUUUUUUUUUUUUUAAUUACCUCCAUUAGUAAAAAAUAUUAAAUAUUCUCUGACAACUUUCCAUUAGAAUCACAGAAUGGCCUGAGUUGAAAAGGACCACAACGAUCAUUUAGUUUCAAUCCCCCUGUUAUAUGCAGGGUCGCCAGUCACCAGACCAGGCUGCCCAGAGCCACAUCCAGCCUGGCCUUGAAUGCCUCCAGGGAUGGGGCAUCCACAGCCUCCUUGGGCAACCUGUUCCAGUGCGUCACCACCCUCUGUGUGAAAACCUUUCUUCUAAUAUCUAACCUAAGCCUCCCCGUCUCAGUUUAAAACCAUUAUGUUAGAGAAGAUUCAGCAAAGGCUUAAAUUUCUUUUGUCUUACACUCUAAACCUGGAUAGCGAAGAAAAUAAAAUCGUCAAGAAGAUGGUAGCUGCAUGUAAAUAAAAUACUGUCAUUCACAGACAUAAAUAUGCAGAGGUUAUAGCUGUGAGAGCUAUUUAAAAAUCAGAAGUCAGAAUAUAGUCAUGUUUGGAGGAGUAAUACAUAAAGUUAUCCCUCAGGAACAUACCCUUCUAAAGUGUAACCAAAUAAAUAUCACAGAAUCACAGAAUCACCCAGGUUGGAAGGGACCUCAAGGAUCAUGUAGUUCCAACCCCCCUGCCUAGCAGGGCCACCAAACAUACACAUUUAGAUCAGGUUGCCCAGGACCCCGUCCAACCUGGCCUUAAACACGUCCAAGGACGGGGCAUCCACAACCUCCCUGGGCAGCCCGUUCCAGGGCCUAACCACUCUCCUUGUAAAGAACUUCCCCCUAACAUCCAACCUAAAUCUUCCCUCCUUCAACUUGGAUCCAUUUCCCCUAGUCCUGCUAUUGUCAGCCCUUUUGAAGAGUUUACUCCCCUCCUGGGUGUAGGUUCCCUUCAGGUAUUGAUAGGCUGCAAUGAGGUCACCCCGCAGCCUUCUCCAGGCUGAACAAGCCCAACUCCCUCAGCCUGUCCUCAUAGGGGAGGUGCUCCAGCCCCCUGAUCAUCUUAGUCGCCCUCCUCUGGACCCUUUCCAAAAUCUCAAUGUCUUUCUUGUACUGAGGGCUCCACACCUGGACACAGUACUCCAGAUGGGGCCUCACAAGAGCCGAGUAGAGAGGGACGAUCACCUCCCUGUCCCUGCUGGCCACCCCUCUCCUGAUGGAGCCCAGGAUCCCAUUUGCCUUUCGAGCUGCCAGAGUGCACUGCUGGCUCAUAUUCAGUCUCUUGUCCAUCAGGACCCCCAGGUCCUUCUCUGCCGAGCUGCUCUCAAGGACCGCUCCUCCCAGCCUGUACAGGUGCCUGGGGUUCUUCCGGCCCAAAUGCAAAACCCUGCACUUUGCCGUGUUGAACCUCAUUAGGUUCACCCGAGCCCAGCUUUCCAGCCUGUCGAGGUCCCUCUGAAUAGAAUUAGAAUUAGAAUUAGAAUUAGAAUUAGAAUUAGAAUUAGAAUUAGAAUUAGAAUUAGAAUUAGAAUUAGAAUUAGAAUUAGAAUGAAAUAGAAUUAUUUCACAUGGUGCUGUAUAAUUGAGAUAACUUGGAAUUCCCCCUCUUAUAACACUUUUGAUCUAACUGUUAGGUGUGACAGGGUAAGGUUCAAUCUCCUCCUAUCACAGGUUAGGAAAGACUUAGUUUUAAGAAUUGAACUUAGAAUUGAAGGAAGAUAGUGAGUCUUCUUUUCCAAUCUACAUAUUAAUUAUCAAAACACUCAGUGAAUUUAUGUUUGCUGACAAAAUGACAUACCUUGCUUACAUAUCAGUGGGAAAAAAAAAAAUUUGAGUUUCUUGCUAAUUGAAACUGUUGCUUUCCUCAAGUAACUAUUCUAAUGCAGUAAAACCAAGGAAAGCAGAGGAAGAUUUUUUAAAAAUAUAUAGUUCUGCUAUAAGCAAAACAGCACCUGCUUCUUUUUAGAAAGAAUCUGAAUUUAACAUAAGUCUUGAAAAAGUUACUAAACUCAUAUUCUGAUCCGCCAUUCUGAACCUUAUAUGACCAUCUGCUGAAUUGCUGGCUUCCCACUGAUGUAAAACAUCUUAUUAAGUAAACGUAACAGUACUUGUACCUUAGAAUUUGAGGAAGCAAUGCCAGGGACAUCUGCAGCCACAAGACAGGUAAAAUGCUUCUAUCCUCUUCUAUUCUCCUCCAACAGUGGUUUCUUAACUACUCUUGGUAAUUAAGAAAGACUAGAGAAUACGUAUGUCAUUAGAUCUAUGUGUCUUUGUUUCCACAGGAACACCUUACCCUUUAUUUUAUUUUGUCCCUACUAAUUCUUUGCCCCUGCACAGAGAAAAAUAACUGCAUAACUGCAGUUUCAGAUAUAUGUUACAAUGCCUUCUUCUGCUCAGUAUAAAAUAUUUUUUUACUCACCUCCCAGUGUGCAGUCCACUGUGAAUAAAAUGCAUUGCUAAGAAAUUAUUAAUAUAUGCAACCUUAUUUGACUUUCCUUUUAGUUGCUGAAAUAAGACACUUAAUUUCUUUACGAGUCUGUGGAUGGAUGUCUAGAGUUUAUGGACUGUCAGAAGUGUGAUUUAAGGAUAACUAGUAGAUCUGCAAAGCAAACAAGAAGCUGCUCAGUGCUGGGUAGUGACAGUGCUUUUUAAAGUCUGUUUAAGGAUCCACUGUUCCUAUUAAGAUGUACAAUACAUCUGUAGAUUUAUUUUAUAUAGAACAGGCAUCUCCAGGCCAUUAUCAUCACAAAGUUACAAAUAAAGUAUAGAAAUAUUUCAGUAUAUUUUCAAAACACGUGGUACUAGGAGUAGAUUAAGGAGUUUAUUAUUCGUGAUCAAAGACAAUAGCCGACUCUGCUGUAGUAGUGGUGAAUAAAAGCAAAAUUGAAAAUGCUCUAUAAUUUCAUCCUUUUAAUAAAAAAAACCUCAGUGUCAGCUUAGAACUUGGUCAGUUUUUUUUUUCAAGAACUAAUGAAAAAUACAAUGUAAUUAUUUUAAUACUUAAUUUUCACCCAAUCUGGUAAUGAAUGGAAAUAAAAAGCAUUAAGUCUUUUAGAAACUUUUUCUCCACAUGUUUAAUAUCUUUUCUAUAAAUUCAGAAUUUGGUGUGUGCACUAUUUUUGGUCUGUAAGUAAUCCACAGAUAAUCUGGUACUAGCAUUCAUGUCUGGAAAUUUGAUAUCAUUUGGCUUGUUUGAUUGAACUUACAUGACAGUCCUGUUAGAUGUGGGUACUUAACAAAUCACUAGUCCUGUUCAAAUAUUAUUCUGAGUGAUUUUUCUCUGGUAGUCAUUGAAAUUCAUUCUUUUUGUAAGGCUAUAAUCAUGGAAGAAAAAAAAUAAUGGAUCAGUAGAUGUCUUAGCAUAUUUUUUUACUGAUUUGACCAAAUAUUCACAAAGAAAUAUUUCUAAGCAUUCAGUAACUGGCAGACUAACAGUGCCUUUAUAUUCAAUAAUACCAUCUCAUGGGAAAAGAAUCGUUGCCGGAUCUCACCUCCACCCAGUCUCUUCAAUGCAGUCUUUUUGAGUGACAGGCCUCUGCCCACAUGCUACCCACAGCAGAACUCCCAAGAAACUGCUUCUUUAAACCUGGCGGUAAGUCUACAGCAUCCUGUAUUCUGUAUUCUUGCAUUUAAAUCUCCUUCUCAGAAGCACAUCCCUUAAAUUGCUAAAUGCAGUACACUGUAUUCUUUCUAGUAUGAAUGCCCUACAGCUACCACUUUUUGUCUGAGCUCCAAAGAGGCAUUUCUGUCUCUAUUCGCAUGGCAAGCCAAGCUACAAUUUGUCUCUGCAUGAUGCUUCUCUGUGGUACUACACCAGUGCACAACGACUUGCAAUCUCUCAAAGAACUGUUUUAAAGAAAACUGCAAAACAUUUGUCCAUCUGUAUCUCUCUGUGAAGCUUAACCCUGUGAUAAGCAUCACAAAUCUGUCUGCCUCAGGUGUGCCAAGCAAUAGUUCAAUAUCACAGAUCUAGUACUCAGCACCCAUCUUUGUGUUUUUCACAUCCUUUUGAGAUGCUGGUCAGUGAUUCCCUUCCCCUCCCAUUCUUUCCCACACUGGGUUUGCCCUGAAUUUUGAUUGUAACUUUUCAAAAUAGAAAAGCAAGGGUAUAACCUGGAGAUAGGCAAAGCAGGGCAUCCCUAAAUUAGCAAUUCUGCUAUUUCUCAUUCCAGAACUCUUAGUAUGUUCUUGGAAAGUCUGGUUCUCUUCCUUCAUUCAUUGCUUAUUUCAAGCAAAUUCAAUGUGAAAAUAUCAGGCAGUUAAACUGAAAUAUAUGUAAUAUCUACGAAGAAGAUAUUACACCCAAGUUCUGAGGAAGUCGGAGACACUUUUGCUGCUAGUUAAGUUCCACUCGGUGUAAGCAACAAUCAGAAUAUGACCCUGUACUACAGUGGUUAGAGAAAUCAUGGGCUGUUUAUUUUAACUGCUACAUUAACUAACCAUGAUUAUUUUUAAUGGAGUUAGUGUUGAAAGCAUUACAGGUGGCAUAAAGGAAUUUUUGUAAGCAGGAACAAAGGAAAAUAAUCUGAACCUUUAGCAACCCCAGAGAGAUAGCUGAUGUUCCAAUGUAUUUGCAGUAUGAGGCCUCAGAAGAGUUCUCAGUAAUGUCCUUAGAGUUUAGCUCAUAGAUAAGACAGUUUCCUGUAGUUCAUUUCCUAAGUUACUUCCUGCUGGCCUACAAUAUUACAUCCAUCUAUCUCAUCCUCAGGGCUUCUUUCUGUUGUUUUUUUUUCACCUGCCAUACCUAAAGGUAUGCUUGUGACCUCAUUUAAUCCUGAAGAGCAAGGAUGCUAAUUGAGUUGAAAAUGGUAAUGAUGCAUCUAAUUUUCUCAUAUCUGUGUGCUCUCCCUCCUUUCAGAACACCUGACAACACCUGCAUCCCAGAACAAGGGCUUCAACACAUAUUUUUCUGUGUUGCGCCCAGCUACUCCCUUGACCUAUUAUCUGGGGCAAAUUGCACAGUGAAUCAAACAUGAUUCCCUCCACAUUUCUCUUCAUUCUGUUUCUGAAUAAGAGCAGAUGUAUGCUCAGGACAUUUUUGUAUUUGUUGCCGCAGUUAAAGCAUAAUUGGCUACAUGAAAAAGAAGGGGGAUUAACCACCUCCACUUCAGCUGAGACAUCAUCACCUUUACAUUUAAGGCUGCCAUUUGGUUUUUCAGGUAUUUCAAUUGCCGGUCAAGGAGCGGUUUAAGUCUGUAAUAUAAUAAUACUUGCAAUUACCAGUAAAUAACAUUUUACAGCAUUAACUAGCCUGUCCUUACAACAUCCUUUGCAGGCAGGCAAAUAAAUGUUAUUAUCCUCAUUUUACAAACACAUUGAUUAAGUGACUUGCCUAAAGGCCACACAUCAAUUUCAGUGUCAGUGCCAAGAUUAGCACAAAGGAACUUCUGCAUUGCAGUCACAGGAAAAUAAAUAAAUAAAUAAAUAAAAGUAAUAUUAAGUCCCUCCCCUGAAACAAGCAAUCACUUUUCAGACACUCAGUCUAAAUAGUGUUUACCUGCUUUGCAUCCACCAUCAGUCCUGCGCUCUGUCCACCUGUUAAGUGCUGCUUGUUAAUGACUCAAAAAAUGGUUCCCAGCCUGCCAUUAGCAGGGGAAGAUUUGCUUUCACCUGCUAGUUUCAUACCAGUGGCUGGCAGGUGCUGCCUCGAACAUGUGUAGCUCCCAGGCUUAUGGCUGAACCUGUGCUCAGGCAAGUGAGGAAGGCGUAUGCUGCUCCUUGAAGGGCCUCAGUAUGAGCACUGAUUUGAAGAUGCAGCAGUUGCAGCAAGAACACAAUUAGGAAGACAUUAAAAGGAUCUUCCACCAAUUAAUAGAUCAUUGGCCUCUCCAACCAAGCAUAUUUUCAAUUUCUAGACUGUGUACAGCCAGCAGAGUUCUCUAUUAUUGCUGUCGCUACUGUUUGGAAAUUGUGGUAGUUGGAUUGGCAGUAUUGGAAAUUGAGCCUUCAGCUCUAAAGCACAUUAAUGUCUCCAGUCCUCGAUCUCUUGAGCUACUAGGUAAAUUGCGCUAUUUCAAAGCACUUGCUUCUAUAUUUGGAAAUAAUUUUGGUUUUGAUCUACAUCAUUUGUUUCAGACUGAGGCGUUAUGUCUAUGUUCCUUUCCUGACUGACGAGCAAUGCAGACCGUCAUACAUUCAUGUAUGACACAUGGAAGUAUAGCAAGUAACACAAAAAUCUAUUAAACACUGCAGUAUUUCUAAUGUUAAAACCCUGCUUUGUUUGCAGGCAUUUAUUGCUUAGUAAAAAAAUCCAAAUAGUAACAAUUGCUUUUUCCCCACCCCCCCACUAUAACAUAUGUUUCCUACCUGGAAAGACAAAACAGAGGAAGUCACUCCAGCACUUUUAACAGCUAAUUAAGGCCAUUCACGUGUAGGGAUGGCAAUGUUUUCUCCUGACUUAGGCACUGUUUACAAGAUCUUCAUGGCUCCAUUUCUAAAUGUGACAGAAAAUCAAAAUAACUGUGAAUUUUUUGAACUUCAGUAGCAUUGUUUGUCAGUGGAUUCACAAAUCUGUCAUUAAAGCCUACAGAGUCAUUUGCAAAUACCUUAAUUUGACCUAGUCAUUGAAACUGGUAUUGUGCCAAUGUCUGAAAGAAGAUACAUUGAAAAAUUGUCCAGCAUUUAUGAUAGAUACUGGUAUUUCAGACCAGAGUCCCAGGCGAUGAAUUAUAUUCUUAAUAAGCAUACAUAACAAAGUUAAAUUUAGAAGUACACUUCGAAAUGGUUGCCAAGUUUUUAACUGAAGGUCAUUUGUACUUUUUUAUUUUUAUCCCAGGUGGGGAGAGUAUGCACAUGUAAUCAAAUGAAAUAUGUAGACUUAAGUACAAAAUACUUCAUAUAUUAGCCACAUGAAUUACACUUUUUUUUUUUUUUUUUUUUUUUUUUU